RNAcentral lists this unclassified non-coding RNA (1728 nucleotides) under Dimorphilus gyrociliatus. RNAcentral describes it as "c2H2-type domain-containing protein". Lineage: Eukaryota; Metazoa; Annelida; Polychaeta; Dinophilidae. The record is from RNAcentral.
ACAUCCGGCUACAUAUCGACUUCCUGUCGUCAUUGGAACUAAGAAAAACCCAAAAGUGGUCAAACAGUAAUAUAUUUUAUUAGACAGCUUUAUGGAACUACUUUGAAAAGUUGUAAUUUAUAGUUCCAGAAAUGAACGUAAAUUUUGUACAGGAAUUGUAAAUUUUCACCUUUUUUAUUGUAUCCUAAAGAAAUUUGAGAGAAGCAGAAGAGAAACUAGUUGUAAGCUGCCUAGAAAUGAAAACAGCGGAUGAUUCAAACCACUAUCAUCCUUAUGGAGCACAAGGCAGACGGACAAUUCUAGCUAACAACGCUCGUCCUGCUUCAAGUAAUCGCUAUGGUUGUCAACAUGAUCAAAUUCUUGAGUGCCCAUUGCCUCCCUACAAAGGGCCUUAUCCUAAAACGGACCUUCAAAACGCCAGGAAUAGACUAUAUGCAGAUGUGUGCUCCAAAUUUUCUUUUAAUAACAUUAUAACCUACUUAAAGCCAAAACUAGGAUUACCUCCGCGCCGUUUAGUGCAUCCUGACACCGUUACGCAAUUAUGCCAUAAAGAAGAGCCAGAUUAUUGGCAUUUAAAUUACGAAGAAGUUUUCAAUCCUCGAUUGUUUGAAAAAGAACUAGCAGCUAUUGAGGAAUCCUGCGAUGAUAAUGAAAGUGAUAAAGAUAUAACAGAGUGUGGAAACGACAAUAAAGUUGAAGAAGUUUUAGAAUGUGGGAGCGUCAAAGAUGUUGAAGAAAUUCAGAUAGAAGAUGAAACUAACGAUGUCAAGCAAGAUUCUAUCUUCGAAAAUAACCCUGAUUAUAUUGAAUUGAUAAAGUGCGACUUUUGCGACGAGAUGUCAAAGGAUGAAAAGACUUUAAAAAUUCACUUAAAAGAGAGUCGCCAUCUAUCAGCAAGUACAUAUUUCGCAAAAAAAAUUGUUGAAGAAAAAAAAUCUAUGGAAUUAUUUGCUGUCAAAGAGAGUCUAUCUGUUACUUUAGACUCUUCUGAGGCAGAUCAUAUUAUUGUUUGCCCAAGUUGUCUUUGUGUAUUUGCUGAUAUCUUCUCGUGCGGAAAGCACUAUAAGCACAAUCAUGAUCAUGAAAAGCGAAAAUAUACUAUUUGUAAAAUCAUUAAACGACAAACUGUACGCAUUCCCAUGGAACCAUCAUGUCUAAAAUGCAGCAGGAAAUUUGUUCUACAUAGUCAAUUGCAUGAACACUGGAGAAAACUACCUUCUCACUUACCUUGUGAUACUGAAGUGCAAGAAGGGUGUUUUAUGCGAUUUGCUUGUAUGGCUUGUGAGAGGGUUUCGGAAAGAAGUCUAAUUCAAGCAAAGAAUCACGCUCUAUCUUGUAGAAUGAAACGCCCGGGAAGAUUAACUGUUUUACUGCUUGUUUAUACUGUAGAAAACCCGGAAGAGAGAAAUAUAAGAACGCUUUUACCUUUUGCUAAAGAUUUCAUUUCUCUAUGAGAUUGUUUUAAUAGUUUAAAAAACGUGGAGAUUAAUGCAAAAUAUUAAUGUUUUUGUAAGUUAUAUAUGUUCCUUUUAUUGUUUUCCCAUUUAAGCCAAAUAACUUUUGUAAAUCUUCUCAUGCUAUCCAUUUAUUUUGAAUGAAAACAGAAUUUUGUACAUCGUUGCUACUUUUGUUUUGCUUUCGUUUUUCUAAAGAAGAAAUUUCUUUGCUGUUAUUUGUUAUCAAUUGAAUAGCUGAACUCAAAAAUUAAAUACAAAUUAAUGGUUUUUA